UACGUAGGGUGCGAGCGUUGUCCGGAAUUACUGGGCGUAAAGAGCUCGUAGGUGGUUUGUCGCGUUGUCCGUGAAAACUCACAACUCAAUUGUGGGCGUGCGGGCGAUACGGGCAGACUGGAGUACUGCAGGGGAGACUGGAAUUCCUGGUGUAGCGGUGGAAUGCGCAGAUAUCGAGAGGAACACCUGCGGCGAAGGCGGGUUGCUGGGCUGACACUGACGCUGAGGCGCGAAAGCUAGGGGAGCGAACGGG
This 253-nucleotide ribosomal RNA is filed under the name uncultured bacterium. Its description in RNAcentral is "partial 16S ribosomal RNA". It matches the Rfam family "Bacterial small subunit ribosomal RNA", at positions 524 to 776 of the family's 1533-position model. The record is from RNAcentral.